This 253-nucleotide ribosomal RNA is filed under the name uncultured bacterium. RNAcentral describes it as "partial 16S ribosomal RNA". It matches the Rfam family "Bacterial small subunit ribosomal RNA", at positions 524 to 776 of the family's 1533-position model. The record is from RNAcentral.
UACAGAGGUCUCGAGCGUUAGGCGGAAUCACUGGGCUUAAAGCGUGUGUAGGUGGAUCGUUAAGUACCUUGUGAAAUCCCACGGCUUAACCGUGGAACUGCUUGGUAUACUGGCGGUCUUGAGCCACUUAGGGGCUACCGGAACAAAUGGUGGAGCGGUGAAAUGCGUAGAUAUCAUUUGGAACGCCAAUGGUGAAAACAGGUAGCUGGGAGUGUGCUGACGCUGAGACACGAAAGCCAGGGGAGCGAACGGG